Molecule: transfer RNA, 64 nt
Filed under: Euglandina singleyana
Lineage: Eukaryota; Metazoa; Mollusca; Gastropoda; Stylommatophora; Spiraxidae
Description: tRNA-Pro
Source: RNAcentral
UUAAAAGCAGUUUUGGAAAACAUUAACUUUGGAAGUUAUAGGAUGAGGUAAACUCACUUUUAAA